Molecule: non-coding RNA, 137 nt
Organism: Gossypium raimondii (Peruvian cotton)
Lineage: Eukaryota; Viridiplantae; Streptophyta; Magnoliopsida; Malvales; Malvaceae
Source: Rfam
UGUUAAAAAUUACAUAUAUUUGCAUUGUUAAAAACUGGGUGAUUGAUGAAACAACUAGAUAGUGGCAUAACAUCUGUACCUCAAGCUGACAUACAAAGACCAAUUUUUAAUAGUAUAAAUGAAUAAAUUUUUUAACU